CKGAGAAAGGCCUGAGAAACGGCUACCACAUCCAAGGAAGGCAGCCKGCGCGUAAAUUACCCAAUCCUGACACAGGGAGGUAKUGACAAUAAAUAACAAUGCCGGGCCUUUAUAGGUCUGGCGAUUGGAAUGAGAACAAUUUAAAUCCCUUAUCSAGGAUCAAUUGGAGGGCAAGUCUGGUGCCAGCAG
RNAcentral lists this ribosomal RNA (189 nucleotides) under uncultured organism. RNAcentral describes it as "partial small subunit ribosomal RNA". It matches the Rfam family "Eukaryotic small subunit ribosomal RNA", at positions 386 to 575 of the family's 1831-position model. The record is from RNAcentral.